This is a long non-coding RNA of Panicum virgatum (switchgrass), 2720 nucleotides long. RefSeq lists it as uncharacterized. NCBI's taxonomy places the organism in Eukaryota, Viridiplantae, Streptophyta, Magnoliopsida, Poales, Poaceae. The transcript has 9 exons. The record is from RefSeq and is a predicted model, not a curated record.
CGCCUCGCCCUCGCUAACGAAACCGCUCGCGCCACCUCCCUCCUCGCCUCCCCGGCCUCCCCCACUUCCCACGCGCUGUUUCAGCUCGCCUCUCUCCUCUCGCAUCGCCCCCUCUCUCUUUCCCUUCGCAUCCGCACGCCGUCGCCCCGGUCCCUCCGCCCGCGUUCCCACCCCCACCACGUGCAUCUGUCGCGCCCGCCCUCACCUCCGCCGCUCUCUCCCGCGAGCGCGCGGCCUCGCCCCGCUCCGGCGACCCCGCCGUGCCUCCGCGCCGGCUCCUCAGCACCCCCACCGCGCGCCGCCGUUGCACCCACCCUCACCGAUGCCGGCCUCUCCGCGAGUGAGAAGGCAAGCCCGCGCGCUGCCGCAGGCGCAGGGGCUGCGGUUGUGGGUGCCGUCCGCGCUCAUCGUCGCCUCCGCUCUCCUCUCCCCACCGCGUGCUGCCGUCGCCGUCGCCGUCGCCUCCGCUCUCCUCCCCACCGCGCGCUGCCGUCGCCGUCGCCUCCGCUCUCCUCUCCCCACCGCGCGCUGCCGACGCCGUCCACUCCGCCCGAAGAACCCGGUCCGCGCCCCGUCCCCGUGCCGCGCACCACGGCCCCCCCGAGAUCCGACCCCUCUCCGCACACCCCGAGCACCUUCCUCCUACGCGCAGAUCCCCAUCUCCCCUCCCCCCGCAAACCGUACGCCGGUUCUUCACCCUGCAAGUGCACGCGGCUCGCACACGCAGGCGCAAAACUGCCCCCACUCUGGCCUCCCAUGCGUGCCUGCGAGCACCGCCCCCGCUAAACAGCUGCCUCCGACCUCCCAGGCAGGCUGUGGCGCCGCCUCUGCCUGCUCGCCACCCCACCGCUCCACCGAGGCAGGCCGCCCGCAUCAUCGGCAGGCCGUGGGCGCCGUCCCGCUACGUGGCCGCUGUCGUCCCUCGCUUGCUCGCCGGAUUCGCGCUGGGCCAUCCUCGGCUGCUUCGCCGAGGACACGCUGGGCAGCCGUCUCCCCUGCUUGCUCGCCAGCUUCGCGCGGGACAACGGUCAGCCAUUCCGCCAAGGAGACGCUGGGCUGCAGCGCGGCCGUCACGCUAAGUUCCAGGCGUGCUGCUCCAUUCAAGAGGGCUCACGCCCAUUAGCUAUUCGACGGAUGGCUUCAAUCGCGUUCAUGAGCUCCUGGUUAGAUGCAGUUGUCAGUUCCUUGCUAUGAAAUGCACCUGCCAAGUACACUGCUCACCAGAUGUUUGAUUUCAUGCCUCACUUCCAUUGUCUUGAGGGAAGAUCAGUCCUGGGAACAUCAAUUCAGCAAGAGGUGCUGCGAUAGAGAACUCAGAGCAAAUCAAAUUUUCUGAAUAAACUAAAGCAGAAUUGUACUGUAUAUGGUCAUUCAAAUAGCAACCAUUUAGCUGCACGCGGCUUGCAGAGGACGGGAGUUAUCUAGAAAUAGAACGAGCUCGUUGGACGGCUUGCAGAGUAUGGGCACACCACCAACACAAGCAAGGAUGUCCUGCCGUCGUCCACCUGUUCCAUGGCUGCUGCCAUUCACGCCAAGUUUCACAGGUUUGCCGCAAUCCACCUGUCCAUGGGCGAGGGAAACAAUCUAAGAUCCAGUGAGGUUGCUAUUGACCUGAGGCAUCGGUAUGGGCACAAUUUGCAUAUCUAUUAUGAUGGCUGGUCCAAGAGUUAGAGUACGGAGCCAUUCUUCUAUUGGUUGGAAGGCAAAGAAGUGAACCUUGAGAAAUGCCAUAGGAGUAAACUUCAGAGCCAGUGCAACAAGUACCUUGGACCAAAAGAAAGGCAAGAGUACGAAGUUGUGGUGGAGAGUGGAGAAUUUGUGUACAAGAAAAAUGGAGCUUUUGUUCAAAUUUUGAAUGAUUCGAAGUGGAUUGUUGUCCUCAGCACCACAAAAAGCACUCUAUACUGGACAGAAUGAACAUUUAAGCACUCCAGUUUCCUAGCUGGUGGAGCCAUGACAUCUGCAGGAAGAUUGGCUGUCAAAGAAGGAAUCCUCAAGGUUAUAUGGCUGUACAGUGGUCACUACAUUCCAACUGAAGAGAAUUGCGGAGUUCAUCCGCUACCUUGUAGAGAAUGGUGUCGACCUCACUAAUGUCAAGAUGUAUGCAGAAAUUGAUCAAGUCGCUCCCCCUGCUGUGGCUGUUGCCGAUUUCCUGCCGCUGGUUCCUACCACUGCCAAGGGUGCUGUUGAUGAGGCCCCAGGAAGUGAUGGUGAAGAUGUUGACCAUGGCCUGGUGAUGGCUGUAGGUGGUGCACAAGAUAAUGAGGACAACGAUGACGAUGGUGAUGAAGAUCUAUAUGAAGGAAAAAGCAAUGGCCAGGCUCUUCCCACCGCUACCGCUGGGACCGUUCGAUGUAGAGGUGUUUGUUUUGCGGCAGCAAGAAGAUCAGCAAUUCGAUCAUCAGCUAGCUUCUAAGCCAUGCUGUAGGGUAUGCUGGUGGAGUCACCGUGCGCUUGUGGAGUACAUCCACACCAACCUUAGAUUCAGCCAUCUUGCGGUUGCGGCUCACGGUAUUUGUCUAGACCCUUGCAAGUGAAUGUGUUGCCUUUUCCAGGCCUUGACAGUUAAAAUGUAUCCCUAUGAUUGUUUAGUCAUCUAGAGUCUAUAAACUAUUACCACUGCUUAGGUUAUGCAGUGAACUUUAAUAUAACUUGUGUGUGAAGCUUAAUCUGUUAUGCAGUGAACUUUAAUAUAACUUGUGUGUGAAGCUUAAUCUCUA